ACGGCCAUACCACAUUGAAAACACCGGUUCUCGUCCGAUCACCGAAGUUAAGCAAUGUCAGGCCUGGUCAGUACUUGGGAGGGUGACCACCUGGGAACACCGGGUGCUGUAGGCU
This 115-nucleotide ribosomal RNA is filed under the name Cordylochernes scorpioides. The record is from RNAcentral. Lineage: Eukaryota; Metazoa; Arthropoda; Arachnida; Pseudoscorpiones; Chernetidae.